AUGCGAUAAGUAAUGUGAAUUGCAGAAUUCAGUGAAUCAUCGAAUCUUUGAACGCACAUUGCGCCCGCCAGUAUUCUGGCGGGCAUGCCUGUUCGAGCGUCAUUUCAACCCUCAAGCCCUCGGGUUUGGUGUUGGGGAUCGGCGAGCCUUAUGGCAAGCCGGCCCCGAAAUCUAGUGGCGGUCUCACUGCAGCCUCCAUUGCGUAGUAGCUAACACCUCGCAACUGGAACGCGGUGCGGCCAAGCCGUUAAACCCCCAACUUCUGAAUGUUGACCUCGGAUCAGGUAGGAAUACCCGCUGAACUUAA
Molecule: unclassified non-coding RNA, 307 nt
Filed under: uncultured Fusarium
Lineage: Eukaryota; Fungi; Ascomycota; Sordariomycetes; Hypocreales; Nectriaceae
Description: partial contains 5.8S ribosomal RNA, internal transcribed spacer 2, and large subunit ribosomal RNA
Rfam family: 5.8S ribosomal RNA (bases 1-102)
Source: RNAcentral